Molecule: ribosomal RNA, 799 nt
Filed under: Streptomyces sp. D124
Lineage: Bacteria; Bacillati; Actinomycetota; Actinomycetes; Kitasatosporales; Streptomycetaceae
Description: bacterial SSU rRNA
Rfam family: Bacterial small subunit ribosomal RNA
Source: RNAcentral
ACCAUGCAGUCGAACGAUGAACCGCUUUCGGGCGGGGAUUAGUGGCGAACGGGUGAGUAACACGUGGGCAAUCUGCCCUGCACUCUGGGACAAGCCCUGGAAACGGGGUCUAAUACCGGAUAUGACCGUCUGCCGCAUGGUGGAUGGUGUAAAGCUCCGGCGGUGCAGGAUGAGCCCGCGGCCUAUCAGCUUGUUGGUGAGGUAGUGGCUCACCAAGGCGACGACGGGUAGCCGGCCUGAGAGGGCGACCGGCCACACUGGGACUGAGACACGGCCCAGACUCCUACGGGAGGCAGCAGUGGGGAAUAUUGCACAAUGGGCGAAAGCCUGAUGCAGCGACGCCGCGUGAGGGAUGACGGCCUUCGGGUUGUAAACCUCUUUCAGCAGGGAAGAAGCGAAAGUGACGGUACCUGCAGAAGAAGCGCCGGCUAACUACGUGCCAGCAGCCGCGGUAAUACGUAGGGCGCAAGCGUUGUCCGGAAUUAUUGGGCGUAAAGAGCUCGUAGGCGGCUUGUCACGUCGGUUGUGAAAGCCCGGGGCUUAACCCCGGGUCUGCAGUCGAUACGGGCAGGCUAGAGUUCGGUAGGGGAGAUCGGAAUUCCUGGUGUAGCGGUGAAAUGCGCAGAUAUCAGGAGGAACACCGGUGGCGAAGGCGGAUCUCUGGGCCGAUACUGACGCUGAGGAGCGAAAGCGUGGGGAGCGAACAGGAUUAGAUACCCUGGUAGUCCACGCCGUAAACGGUGGGCACUAGGUGUGGGCAACAUUCCACGUUGUCCGUGCCGCAGCUAACGCAUUAAGU